This 433-nucleotide ribosomal RNA is filed under the name uncultured bacterium. RNAcentral describes it as "partial 16S ribosomal RNA". It matches the Rfam family "Bacterial small subunit ribosomal RNA", at positions 29 to 507 of the family's 1533-position model. The record is from RNAcentral.
AACGAACGCUGGCGGCAUGCCUAACACAUGCAAGUCGAACGAGACCUUCGGGUCUAGUGGCGCACGGGUGCGUAACGCGUGGGAACCUGCCCUUAGGUUCGGAAUAACUCCCCGAAAGGGGUGCUAAUACCGGAUAAUGUCUUCGGACCAAAGAUUUAUCGCCUUUGGAUGGGCCCGCGUUGGAUUAGCUAGUUGGUAGGGUAAAAGCCUACCAAGGCGACGAUCCAUAGCUGGUCUGAGAGGAUGAUCAGCCACACUGGGACUGAGACACGGCCCAGACUCCUACGGGAGGCAGCAGUGGGGAAUAUUGGACAAUGGGCGAAAGCCUGAUCCAGCAAUGCCGCGUGAGUGAUGAAGGCCUUAGGGUUGUAAAGCGCUUUUACCCGUGAUGAUAAUGACAGUACCGGGAGAAUAAGCCCCGGCUAACUCCGUG